CAUAUACCUAAAAGCACGACAUGAAAUGUAACAUAACAAAUUAAUAAUCUACACGAACUGAGUGAUGUACUCAUCCACGGUGGUGUAUUUGACAUCAGGAUAGAGCUGCGAAGCCUCAACCCCGACGGCCGGAUCGAUCUCAAAAUAGGUCUGAUCACCCUUCACGAAUAUGCAGUGGUUGAUCGACAAUAUCACAUUCACCGGCAUCGGCGACUCUUCAAUCUGCUUCAGAAGCUCAUCCUCUGCCACGUAUAUCUUCUCGAGGGUGUUGCCGAUCUUCUUCUCCCAGCAGGCAACCAACUCAUUGAAUGAAUAUAUGUUGUGAGGAGGCUUAAUGUAGAGGAUCUUGUUCAAUGUUCUGGGAUCAACCGAAGCUUUCACGGUGUAUGCACCAAUGUCAUGUUCCUCGUUGAACACAGCUGCAACAUAUUAAUCAUUAAUAACUCAAAUCACUAAGUAAUUAGUCAUCAUCAUCAUAUACAUACCUUUAACAUUUCCAUCUCCGGGGAUAACAAUUUUGUCUCUGGGAGGAGCAGUGGCGCCCAGCUGCAGGAAAUUGGAGAGGGCGUAGCCAGCAAACAAGUUGCAGACGAUGUAGGUGUAAGGAAUGCCCUCUGCCUCUAUUGCUCUGCGGAGUUGUACUUAGUGAAUUUUGGUUUAUGGGAUCCACAGCACGGCAACGAUCCAGAUCGUUUCCGAAUUCUGAAGGUAAGAACCUCUGCAAUAAUUUAAAAUUUUCAAGAUUUACGAAUAUAUAUGCACCAUCUUCACCAACACGCAAGAGCAGGGUGGUAAAAUUAGAGCUAGCUACCUUCACAUUUCCAGCCUCCUUAAUAGCAGCAAUAAUCUUAUAUUGAUCAGCAAUCUGCAUGAAGCCCACGGUUGAUAUAACCACAUCCACUUGCUUUAUAGCCUUCACCAAGCUCUCGUGAUCAUUCAGAUCUCCCUGCACAAAUUAAAUUUCUCACAAAAUCAUCACCUUUUCUUUCACACACAAAAACAAUACACACACACACAGAUGCAUACAGUUAGGAAGGUGACACCAGAUUUCUUGAAGGUUUCGACGAGCUCGGAUUUGGCUGGAUCAGAGAGGGAUGCCUCUCUCAUCAAAGCGAAAGUGGGAUGCCCAGAUUUAGCGCUGGCCUCAACUACGAAUUUGCCGAUGUAUCCUGUUCCACCGAUGAUCAAGAUCUUCUCUCCCAUUUUUCUAUCUUUAUGUGAAACUUUUUUUUNCUUCUUCUUGAAAACUCUGCUAUGACUUACAAUUGCUGAGUUUGAUGAUGAAUUAGUGUGAGAUGGGUUCACAUAUAAAUAACUAAUUAGCAUCCACCCACUAUCCAUUUUUAGCAUUAUAAAAAUUCUCCAGUCAAAGCAGACGAUAAUGAUGAAAUAAUAUUUGUUUAGAGGUUUUGUCGUUGGAUUGACCCAAAAUUUGCGGUCUAGUGUGUGUGUGUGUGUGUUUGGCUGAGUUCAUACUUCGUACUAGAGAUGUCGGCAGGCGGAACUGGAAAAAGGUACGUGAAUGGGAGGACUUCUAACUGAUUUUCAAAUUUACUAACUAAUUAUUGGAAAAAAAAAAUCAAAAAUAUAAUAAAUCUCACAUGAAUUGAUAGCCUUUUUUUUUGGAGGUCCUCACAGUUUUCUUUGUUAUAGUGGUGUUUCAUUAAUUAUUGAAUUUAUUAUAAUGUAAUAAACUAUACUUCAUUCAUGAUUUUAAGUUUUUUCAGUAAACUACAUCGGUGUAAUUUGCAAAAAUAGAUCAACUUUAUUCGAGCUUGCAAAAAAUAGGUUAAUUAUUUAAAAUUUUGACGCUCGUCCAUCACAUUUGGGCCUUAUCGAGUUAUUUUGCACUCAAAAUGAGUCCAAAUAUAAUCCACGAACGUGGAAAUUUAAAAUAAUAGGUUGUUUAUCAAUCACCCUAAAACAAUGGUGAAAGAUUUAAACUAUUCAAUUUAUCUAUGAAAAUUAUAAUGUGAUUUGAUGGGUGCAUAUUUUAAUAAAUGACUGAGAGGAGGAAGAGAUCCUAAUUAUUGGCCUAUUUUUACAUAAGACAAUAAUUUUUGGUGGAUGGAUGAGAUACUAAUUAUUAAUUAUAAAUUACCCAGAAAAAAGUUAAUGAUCAUUACAUUAAAAUAUAGCAUAAAAAAUAAAAAAGUAUACAUCAAAAAAAGAGUCAGAAGUUCCUAAAUACUUUAAUGCACUCUAGCCUAGAAAUCCUGGUUAUUUAGUUUCAUGCCGUCGGUAUUGGAUGCUUUACUUUACCAUAUUGUUCCUCUUCCUCCCUACUUUUUUCUAUUUCAAAAUCUUCGUUGUUAUUUUAAUUGGUAUUCAAAACUUUUAAAAUUAGUUCUCAUCUCUCUAGAUCCUUCCUGGAAUUGAUUUUGACUUCUAAACUUCCACCUAUUUUAAAUUAAAUAAUGUGAUUUGAGUGUUAUACGAAUAGAGUAGCUGGGUGUAUCUCCAAAAAAUCAGUAUUUUGGCACCUCAAAGUUGAAUCGUCUCAAAAAGAAAAAACUCCAUUCUCAAACAGAAAGAAAGUUGAAUAGUACUAUUACGUUUAUUUGACUUUCUAGAAUACUGGAUUAUAACAUAAAAGAUUAAUUAUAGUUUAUAUCCUGAAUUUUAAAAUUAUUUAUAAAAAUAGUUAGAAUUUUAAAAUAUGCAGAAAAAUAAACAAAUUUUAGAGUUAUUUGUAGAAAAUGAAUCAAUUUCUAAAAAAAUAACCUAACUAUUUUGUGAGAUCAUGAAAGAUUGCUAUAUACUCCGCAUUACAAAAUCUGGCGAAUGAAUGAUGAAUCACUUCGUUGGAAUUUUAGAUGGAUCCUUAAGUAGCCUAAGCAUCAAAAGUCCAUGUAUAAUCCCCCUAAGAAUUCGGCAAGGUGAUUCAUCAUUAUAUGGCCGGAUUCUGUGAUGCGGGAUAUAAAUCCAACUUUUUUCAAAGUUGGGAGUUAGUAAGUAAAAACGUCAGUAGAUAAUAUUUUUUUGAAAAACAAUAAAAGGUAGAGGCACAAUCUAUAAUUUACCAAGAAUAACCGGAUGCCACACAUGCACAAAAGCUACAAGAGAACGUGUCCAUGUGAACGAACAAGAAAAAUGAACAUUUCUUGCUUACAUGCUACUCCUUCUGUACUUCAAGGAAACCACGGAAGCCCCGGUUGAUGGCAUUGUUUUGAUCCUGUAAUCGGCACAAUUGGACCAAGGAAAAUUCUCCAUAAGUCGAGUAUAAUGGUAACUAGCAUCGCAGCACCUAAAGCAUCAAUAGCCACUCUGGGCAAGUCCCAGGCAUCAUCACUAAGUUUCUCGUCAAUCCUGCUCAUUGCAAAUAAUGCCAAUCAAUGUAAGCAGAGCUACAAGAGAUUCCGAUUGAAUUGAAGUUUUAUUAUAGACACUUGCUAUACUUAUUCACCUAAUCUUUAGGUGUUUGAGUUUGCACUGAACAAUAAUGUUAAGUCUUCCAGUCAUAAUCACUAAUUAUAAUUAACAAAUUUCAGCAGUUAGCCCAUCAUAUCUGUACAUUUUAGAUUUCGAUCCUUGAGUCAAGUGUUUCGCCUUUUUCCCUCCUAUUUUAGUCGUCCAGCAACCGAUAUUUGUGUAGGCUUUGGAAAUUUACUCCUAAUCAACUAAACACACACAUACCACACAAUAGCUUCUCAAGUACCCAAAGAAAUAUUUAUUUUCAUUAAUUAAAAGAUGGAAGGCGAAAUUCAAUGAGAGACAAGCAAGGCCAACUUAAUUAGAGACGGACCCAUCAGCACUGAAAAUUAUCACACACACAGACAGAGAAGAACAAAUAUUUACCUCAAAAACAUAGGGAAACUGACGAAGAAAUAAAUUGCAUAAAACAAGCAGCCAACUUUGUACAUGGAAGCCCGGUCUACAAAUUCGUAAUAGGGAAACUGCACAUGAUCAAUGCGAAAGAUUAAUAAAGAAUAUUAAUAUGCACAAGGCAUGUUAAUAAAAACAUUGAAACUGCAUAAAAGAUAAGCCCUAAGAGAUGAGUGUGUGUGUGUGUGUGUCUUUAUAGCCACUCCUUUACUUACAUUGGAAAUGGCUAUAGUCUCCAGAUAUGCUACAAAAUAUGAAAGAACUAAAAUCCAGGCAGCCUUAAAGAGCCACUGUGUUUUCUCUGGCAAGUGAGCAAUAGAAUGCUGAAUUCUGCGAAGUGUCAUAUUUGAAGAAACAUGAUAAAACAAGAAGCACACAUGAGUGAGGAGGAAGGUUGUAUGUGGCACCUGCAAAAAGGUUUUUGUGGUCACUUUCAAUGAUUAUGAAUCAAUAAAAGACUAAAAUGGAUGUAAACAAGUAUGAUUUUUGGGCUCACAUUAUUCAUCCUCCACGACGGGAAUGUAUAUGAUGCACCCAAUACUGUAAAAAAGUAGUGGGUCCAAAAGUAAUUUCCGACGUAACUAAAGAGAAUGAUCCAGACACUAGCCUGGCAGAAAAGAAACUUUCUAGUUACAGCAAGAUACAUUGAAAAAACUCAUUAAACUCAUGAAAGAAACUUUACAUAGUUGUUAUUAAUUAAUAGAUGUAAACGAAGUCCUGGACAGGAAACAGCUGUGUCUGAAGCUAAAUAAUUAAAUAUAUGUGAUAUCUAUUGCCAUAGAAUCUACUCUUUGUAUUUGAUUAACAAAAGUAUAAACAAAAAGAAAAAUAAUUCUGUGUGUUAAUUUUAUGUGAAGACAUCAUCAUCAUUUCUUGUGAAGAAUAUUGAAUGAGGAAAAAGGUUAGCACACUACUUUCCAUGCUUAACUGAUUAGCCAGGACUUGUUUUGGCACAGUCUAAUAAACUAUAGCUCAAUCACAAUGUAAAGUAUUUAUCUGCAAUCUUCCAUCACCACCAUUUUAUUACGCAAGAGCAGUUAUUCUUAAGAAAGCUCCGUUAGGACAGUUUUGCUUGACAAAAGAUGGAAACAAGCAUCCGUGUGAUUUUCAUCUAACAAGGGCACUUGAUAGUCUUGUUUCCUAUGUCAUGCAAGUGAUCAAAGUUCCUAUUGCCUCGUCUCAUGUGGAAUUUCACAUAAACAAUUGAAAGCAUAUUGCAUAUAUGAUCACACAUAUAAAUGAAACAUGAUCAAUUAGUUUAGCAACAACACAUUUAUACUUACUUUUACCCAAUAACGAUCUUUCCAACACAAGCUACGAUCUGCCUGGAAAAGUUUAAGAGGAAGGAAUAAAUGUCACACAAAUUGAAAAUGUGGAUGGAAAAGAUGUUAUGAUUUCUAAACUUACCGCUAGAAUAUAUAUUGCAAGUUAACAUUAACAAUUAAGUUUUUGAUCAUGACUUUUCAUUUGCAUCAUCCCAGGGAAAGAAAGGCAUGGCUCAUAAUAGAAAGAAAGACAGUCUGAGAUUUAGAAUUACAAAUAUGGUCAGCAGACCAACCAAUUUGACCUGAUAAAGCAUCAUACGCAAUUACAUCAUCAUAGUUUAUCACCAGCUUCUCUACUAAAAUGAGUUUAUUCACCACAUGACAACAAACCUCAAACUUACCUUUCCAACAAAAAUCAUCGGUAUUAUGAAAGCAGGCAAUGCUGAAACAAGUCCCAGAAACAGGUACUCCCACUCUGUGAAAUUCUAGCAAAAGAAUUAUGAAAUUUUUAAGUAGACACUUAUUAUAUGAUAAAUCAUGGAUUCAGACAUAAUUGUCAUUGUACAUAUAAAAUGGAAGAGAGAAUUAGUUGACCACAUAUUUUAAGCUUAAGCCACGCAACCAUGAAUAGCAGAUGACAAAUUUUGUCACCAUCCUGGGAAAGAGAUGGACAGUACUUGGCAAUAACUUCCAAAUACAACUGACUCUAUUCCUACUUUUCAAUAAAGUCUAAAACAGAAUCAAAAUAAAAUUGAAAAUUAGCCAACUGUGUAAAGGAAAUUGUAAUGUCAGUCAGAGUAGCAAAUGCAACUUCAAGUUUUUGCAAAAUGAAGUGGUGUAAUCGAUGAUGUCUUUAAGAUUUUAUGCAAAACAACACAUAAUCAUAAACAAACUUAGUCCAAAAUAGUCCUUAUUCCUAAAUAUCAACAUAGAGAAGACAUGUUUCAUAUCUCAAUAUCUCAUAAUUAUCCAAAGGAAGAUUUCCAUAAGAUGGUGAGGCAGACACGCAAACAAUGUACAGUUGCUUGUUUUCUGUAAACUGCCAACUGAAAUAAUGAAUAGCAUUCCUACUAGAAUAACUUUCAAAUAUGUUCUACAAACGUAAAAGCAGGUAAUAAUGUAAUAUACAAGUAUACACUAGUAGGCAAUGAGCUAGUACUGGAUUUCAAUCAAAGCUUGCCCUAAAUCCUUGAUUUCAGGCCAAUGCUGAAGUUAUACUUUUAAAUUUUCCAACAACUAGGACGUUCUAUCUUUCUGUUCAGGUUAUCACGAUUUUUAAUUAACAAGCAGAAACUGAAUAUUGUGAAGCAUGAAAACUCAACUCAUGCUUCGAUAUUCAUUACAUUUUUACAACAUUUAUAUGAAUAAGAAAAAUCAAAACCAUUUUCGCAAUCAACCUCAUGGGUAUACACAGAAUAAGAAAUUCCUCCUUUUUUUCCCCCUCUGACAGAACAUCACACUAUGGUGCAGACGACAAACUUGUUUACUAAAACAACCAGAAAAAGAAAGAACUUGCAUAUCAACAACAAAAGACCACGUGGGUAAGUAUGAGUGUGAAAUACCUCAUAGAGUUUGUAGGGAACGACAAUGCCAAGGCAGAGAGUGAGCCAGAAAGGUGUGUAAAUCAGAAAGAAUAGUUCACCCCAUCUUUUGCUGGGGUUUUGAGCUAACCAAAGAUUUGAACUCGAGCAACCCACCUCACCAGCUGCGCGUUUCACCCCAAAUAAACAGUUAAAAAAAAGUAGCAACAACAUACAUCCGCGACCCAAAUUUUUGAAGUUUCAGUGACAGUAGAAUUUUACCUCCCAUUUCUGUCUGCAAUUCUGGCUGCAGAUACAAGUGGCAUUCAAUAGUGAGUCUAAUUUGUUUUGAAAAUCAUAGUAGAAGUAGAAAUAAGACUGAAUCGACAGCAUUUGCGCAAGCUUGUGCUUCUAGCCGCUCCAUCCUAUCCCACAAUCGCUUUAUAUAUAUAUAUACAUAUUAUUCUAUUUUUGCCUUAAAUCAACAGAAGUGCAAUAUCUCUCUUCAAUUCAACCCAAAUAAAGGCAAUAGUUGAGCAUUAAUUGUCGAAGAAAACUUAAAGCAGAUUGAUUGGGGAAAAACAUGUCCAUAUCCAAGAUCGAGCAAAAAACCGAGAAAAGAGUGGGAAGAUUGAAAUCUUACACUUUGAAUGAUGGAUGGAUCCGGGCGAUGCAAAUCACUGCUACUGCUACUAUGCGCCGAUAAAUGACACUCCACUAAUAACCAUGCGCAUCUAUAGACUAUCCAUUUGUGACACUAGUCCAACCAAACACAACUCACUUUUUAAUAAAACUAGAAUAAUUCCCUCAAAAAAAAAUAAAACUAGAAUAAUCAUCAAUGCACGGCGAAGUCGAAAUUAAAUAAUAUAUUUAAAUAAAUAAAUAUAAAUAUUAGUAAAUAAAAAUAAAAUAUAAUAAUUAUUCAAUAAAAAACCGAAUUUAAAAACGUAAUUUUCAAUUAUGUAUAAAGCGUAAUGAUAAUUAUAGUUAUUAAAUUAUUUUAAAUUACCGAUAAUACAAAUUAAUAUUACACAUUAUUAUUAUAGAGAAAUUUCACAUAAUAAUAAUAAAUAAAUAUUUUCAUAGACAAACAUAAAUAAAAGGUUUAAAAAAAUUAACAAAGAGAAAUAAAAUAAAAUAUUUUAAAAUUUUAAUAACCUUCAUUUUAAAUUCAUUUUUUAUAAUUUUUAUAUUAUAUUAAAGAUCUUCUGACCAACUUAAACGUAAGAUGCAAAUUGAAUAUUUUAUAUUCCUGGAGAUGAGUGUGUGGAUCAUCUCUUGAAUAUCAACUGAACUUCGGUAAGAUCUGAAGAAGUGAGGGCUUCAGGUCAUACCGCCGAGGUGCAAACGGGUUUUCUGGUAAGGUAAUUUCGUUGGGCCUCAGGUUGAGAUUAGUUGGGUAUGCCAAUUGUUUGCGGGUCUGCGCCUGCUCGGCCUCUGCCAUAGCUUCGCGUCUCGCUAUCUGUGCUCCUUCGUGUAGUCGACGUUCAGUUCUAUCAAUAUCACUAUAUCAGAGUCAAAUACCAAUGCUCUUGCUGCUCGACGAGUUCCACGCAUACACCAGCAGCGAAAAAUGGAAUGAGGGGAAAACAAAAUUGUUGCGCGUCACUCCUCGGCAACGGCGCCAAUUUUGACACGCACCCGUCGUGUGGUACAAUCAAAAUACUUGUGUUUGUCCUAAACGGACAAAGCACUCUCCUAUGCUCACAACCAAAGAUCAAUCUUAGUAGCAAGUAUACGGUCGAAUCCCACAGGGAAUGAGAGACACUUUGUUCUUCAAAGACAAAUUGAAGUGUCACAAGUCUCAAUCUGUAUAACCUGCACAAAUAAGAUAAACGGAAAUCAAAUAUAACAAGAGGUAAAGUUUUCGGUUAGGUCAUAACUAUUGUCGGUAAUUACAUUGGUCAUAGGCAUACUGAUGAUCCAUCCAUGAUCCAUAUAAUCUCAAGGCGUGACCCAAAGACAUUGGGGCGUUUCAAGAGAUCAUACUUCACACUUAGGAUGGUUGAGUCCAUUGUAAUCACUUGGGGCAUUGAUAGGGUAGCUUUCAAAUUUAAGUUCUAGACCUACGAAACGACGUCGUUUUGGGGGUUGUAAUGUAACACCAAAACGACGCCGUACAUCGAAAAAACGUCCACGUCAACAAAAUUCGAUAGCCACGUCACCACCGAUCAAGGUAAUAGUCAACGCGAGUGCAAAUUGCGAUUAAAUGGAAAGGUGAUGUAUUCUGGAGCUAUUUUUGAAGGUCAUGUGCAAUAUGCAGAUUUGAAAAUAGUUCGUGUAUUCUCCGGCUAUUAACCCUAAUAAAUAUUCUCUUCGUUCCAACUAACUUGAUCAAUAUUCUUUUUGGGUUGUCCCAAUUAAGUUGAUCAAUUUUCUUAUAUGAAAUAAAUAUAAGUAAAGAAACAUUCAAUCACUUAUUCAUUUUAUUACUAAACACACUUAAAACACUAAUUUUUAAAAUUUAAUGCUGAAAAGAAAUUGAUCAAUUCACGAAGGGAGUAGAUGCUUUGAGAAAUCAAAUGAAAUAAAAGAUGUGAAUAAUAAAAAGAAUUUCGUAAGUUAUACAAUAAUUUUUAUAGUUUUAUACUAGAUAUAAAAAGAAUCUAUAAAAGAAAUCAAUUUCACUAAAUUUAUUCCUAUAAUUUUUCAUACUUUCUUCUUCAUCCAUCUCUUUAAAUUUCUUCUUCUUCCAAACCAAUAUUUUGUGAGAUCAUGAAUAAUGAUUUUUCAAAUUGGUCCAAUUAUAAAUAUUGCGGACCAAAUUAUGCUUCCCAAGUGUCCAAGUCUCAUCCCGAAAUUUUCAACUUCGAUCUUCUAAAUUCAAAUUUUCAACCUUAAAAUUCUAACAUCGAUUAUCAAAAUUUUCAAUUUUCAUCACCAACCUUAUCCUCCACAUUUAAUGAAAUUUCCAGGAGCUCCAUAUGGAUAUCAAUCUAAUUACUAUCAAGACUAUCAAUACUACCUUGCUCAACGAGUUCUAUCUUCUGACUCAUUAAGAAAAACCAGCAUAAACGGGGAUAGUUAAAUUAUUAAAGGGUUAAUGUGCAGAUCCACCCCUGAAGUAGAGAGUGCAACUAAACCUAGACGUUUAACGGCGUUAAGGUCGAAAAUUGGGGGAUAAACACUAUAGGGGCCUCUACUUCAGGGGUGAAUCUGCACCUUAACCCCCCUUCUCCUCCCCCUUCCCCCGUUUUUUUUUUUAAUUUCGGCAACCCACCUCUGGCAUCAGCUUAGCCGCUCUUGUACUUAUCGGCUCCGAAUUGCACCUUGUCAUCUCGCACAUGCCUAAUUUGUUGGUUGUCGACUGCCCACCGCCGACAUGCAGCAGCACCACCAGCUUCUUCGAUUCCCCCUCCCCUCCCCCGCACAGCAGCAUCUCCUCCAACACUUUAACCCUUUAAGCUUAUCUUAUGAUAUUAAUUGUGUAUAUAUCUAUCUAUAUAAUAUAUAUUUAAAAUUUAUUUUUAUUAUUAUUAUUAUUAUUAUAUCUUUUAUUUGUAUUGAUAAUAUUAUUUUUCUUUUUUCAAUGUAAAAUAGAAGACACAUUAUUUCACCGUUACUUAAUAUUGUGAUGAAGUUAGAGAUAAAAUUGAUUUUAAUGAUAUGAUAAUUAAUUUUCAUUCAUGUUGUACAUAUACAAUUAAAAUAAGUGUGUAUGUCAUUAUUUUACUAUUAAUAUGUUCUUUCGUGCUUGAUUAUUGUAUGCUUACUUAUUUUGAAUUUUUAUAAUACUCCCUCCGUCCCACGAAUCUUGACACGUAUUCCUUUUUGGGCCGUCUCACGAAUCUUGACAUAUUUCCAAAUAAGGUAAUAAUUAGUCAAAAAAUAAGGGGUCUUAAUUAAUUACACUCCCUCUCAUAUUUUAUCAUUUUAUUACAUUCUUUCUCCUACUUUAUCACUUUUAUACUUUAUUACCUACACACUUAAAACACUAAUCUACAACUUCUUAAUUCUCGUGCCGAAACCAAAUGUGUCAAGAUUCGUGGGACGGAGGGAGUAUUGUUUAUAGAUUAUGAUUUAAUUAUUUAUUUUUGAAUAAUUGUUAAAACUCUAGACAAUAAUUAUGAUUUUAUUUUUGAUUAAUUUAAUAUUUAUAAAUUUAUUUUGAAAGAGAAAAAAUAAUGGAUCCGGGUCAGGACCCGAGACCAUGAGGAUCUUAUGGAUCUGGACCUCAAUCUCAGUUUUUUGGAACCAAUGAAUCUGGACCGGAUCCGGACCUAAGUAAAACAAUACGGAUAUGAAUCUGGACCAAGCAGCAUCUGGUCCAAAUCUGGACCUGGUGGCAUUACUGCAUGUCGACGGUGGGCAGUCGACGACCAAUAAAUUGAGCGUGUGCGAGCUGAUAAGGUGCAACUUGGAACCGGUGACUACGGAGGCAGUUAAGCUGAUGCCGAAGGUGGGUUGCCAAAAUUGAAAAAUAAAAAUAAAAAAAGGAGUUAAGGUGCAGAUCCACCCCUGAAGUGGAGGGUGCAGUUAAACUCAGACGUUUAACGACGUUAGAGGUCUGAGUUUAAUUGCAUCUUUUUCUUGAACUAUUGGGGGAUGUUUGAUAUAGGGACCUCUACUUCAGGGAUGGAUCUGCACCUUAACCCAUUAUUAAAUUAAAAGUUUAUGUUGUGUGUUGUAUUCAAUAAUUUUUUUAAUGAAGUUGUCUUUUGUGUUGUGGGUUUAGUUCUAAAUAUUCAGUUAAUUAUUUGCUAAUUUUAUAUCUAAUAUUUAUAAAAUAAUUUAUUUAAUUUUAUACUUUCUCUGUCCCACUAAUCUUGUCAUAUUUUCCUUUUUGGGUUGUCCCAAUAAUAUUGUUUUGUCUCUAUUUUUUUUUGUAAUGAUUUACACUACAAACAAUAUGAUCCCACACAUUUACACAUUUUUACUAUACUAAUUUAACUUUUCUUAAUAACAGUGCCCAAAAGAAACGAGAGAAGCUUAUUGGGACGAAGGGAGUAUUGAUUUAAAAUAAUUGUUAAACUAUUUUUACUAAAUUAUAAAGAAUAAAUGUGAAAUUUAAAUAAAAUGUGAAUAAAUAUUGAAUGAGUUGAAAGUGGGUCCAUAAUGAUGUCAGCAAAAUCCUGAGUUUGAGGAGGUAUUGUUGAGGAUGAAAGUAGCGUUCAAGUAGAAAAAAAGAAAUAUUUCAACGCGAGUUUUAAUAAAAAAAAAUAUUGAAUGUAUUUAUAAUGGAGAAAUAGUCUCACAUUAAGAGUAUUAAUUAAUGUCAAUCUGAUUAGGCAUCUCCAAUUAUGUGUAAAGUAGUGUCCAAAUUAGAAAAAAAAAAUAUUUAUUUGAAUGACGUACGUAGUAAAAAUGAAAUAAAUACAUCAUUAUAGAUAAUAGACAAUUAAAGUAUAUUGAAAUUUAUUUGCUAAAAUUCAUAUUUUAUUAACGUAGAUGGCACUUAUCAUCAUAAGCCAACAAAACAUAACAAACGUGAAUCAACAGAAGAAACCAGUUAUUCUCUCCAUGGAGAAGCUAACCUACACGAACUGAGUGAUGUACUCAUCCACGGUGGUGUAUUUGACAUCAGGAUAGAGCUGGGAAGCCUCAACCCCGACGGCCGGAUCGAUCUCAAAAUAGGUCUGAUCACCCUUCACGAAUAUGCAGUGGUUGAUCGACAAUAUCACAUUCACCGGCAUCGGCGACUCUUCAAUCUGCUUCAGAAGCUCAUCCUCUGCCACGUAUAUCUUCUCGAGGGUGUUGCCGAUCUUCUUCUCCCAGCAGGCAACCAACUCAUUGAAUGAAUAUAUGUUGUGAGGAGGCUUAAUGUAGAGGAUCUUGUUCAAUGUUCUGGGAUCAACCGAAGCUUUCACGGUGUAUGCACCAAUGUCAUGUUCCUCGUUGAACACAGCUGCAACAUAUUAAUCAUUAAUAACUCAAAUCACUAAGUAAUUAAUAAUCAUCAUCAUAUACAUACCUUUAACAUUUCCAUCUCCGGGGAUAACAAUUUUGUCUCUGGGAGGAGCAGUGGCGCCCAGCUGCAGGAAAUUGGAGAGGGCGUAGCCAGCAAACAAGUUGCAGACGAUGUAGGUGUAAGGAAUGCCCUCUGCCUCUAUUGCUCUGCGGAGUUGUACCUUGAGUUGGAAAUUUUGGUUUAUGGGAUCCACAGCACGGCAACGAUCCAGAUCGUUUCCGAAUUCUGAAGGUAAGAACCUCUGCAACCAUUUAUGUUAUAUAUCUUCACCUACACAUAUUUUUAUAUAGCAAGAGCAUGCAGGGUGGUAAAAUUAGAGCUAGCUACCUUGACAUUUCCAGCCUCUUUAAUCGCAGCAAUAAUCUUAUAUUGAUCAGCAAUCUGCAUGAAGCCCACGGUUGAUAUAACCACAUCCACUUGCUUUAUAGCCUUCACCAAGCUCUCGUGAUCAUUCAGAUCUCCCUGCACAUACACAUAUACAUAUUAGUAUAUUAUCAUCACCUUUUCUGUCACACACAAAAACAGAGAGAGUUACAUACAAUUAGGAAGGUGACACCAGAAUUCUUGAAGGUUUCGACGAGCUCAGAUUUGGCUGGAUCAGAGAGGGAUGCCUCUCUCAUCAAAGCGAAAGUGGGAUGCCCAGAUUUAGCGCUGGCCUCAACUACGAAUUUGCCGAUGUAUCCUGUUCCACCGAUGAUCAAGAUCUUCUCUCCCAUUUUUUUUUUUUACUUUNUUCUUUUUCUAGAAAAUAUUGUUGAUAACUUGAUAGUAAAGGUUGAUUGUGAAGUUAAAAACAAGCUUGUAUAUAUAAGAAAGUCGGGUCUACCAAUAUUUAUAUUGCUGAAUGAUUAAUCCGACGAUUUCAUUUAUGGUUUGACGCCAAAAUUGGGGUGGGGUCGUUGUUUGUUUAGCUUACUACUAUUAAUUGCAUUGACCGACUUGUUUUGUUCAUUUAAUAUGGCCCAUACUCCCCUUUUUGUUCUUUUCUUUUUAUUUAUCAAAAUGAUUGAUAUCUUCGUUGCGCAUUCACUAAACGCAUCAAUUACUAGAUUGUUUAUGAGAGGAUUUUUUUUUUCUUCUACUAUUAUCCUUUUUGUAGUUGUGAUUCUCGAUCAUUAUUCGUCGUUUUUUAUAACUCUGGAGAGUUGAUUAACUUCUACCCAUUUUACAUCAAAAGAUUUCAUUUAUAGAUUUCUUUGUUAGAUAAAAUAUAUCACUAGGCUAGUUUAUAGUGAAUAAUUUUAUCUACUUAAAGCAGUAGUGUUCGGUACCUCAAAGCUGCCCUCUGAAACCUAUUAAAAAUUAAAAAUUAAAACUUAAAAAUUAAUGUUAGUCGGAGUAAUAGAUUAGUAGCAGUAGCAGUAGAAGUUUCUAAAUUCAGUAGCCGUAGAGAAUUAAAUGUAUGCCGUAUUCCAACUCAUAUUUGACUUUCUACAACUCCCUAAUCCCUAUUGCUAGGGGAGGCUAAUACAUAUUAGGAUACAGUACUUAUCUUAUUAUCCACAUCUUCAUCUUAAUUUAUUUAUUUUUAUAAAAAAUACUAUCACUUUUUAAUGAGGAACAUUAAAAUUUAAAGCUAAUUCAUGUUGUCAAAUUAUGAAUUAUUCAAUAUUUGUUGAGUUGCUACCAAUUGUAUAGCUAAAAGAUUUUUCAAUAUUGAUUUUGAAUUAGCUACAAGAUUUAUUGUAGUUGAUUUUGUUCGUGUUUAAUAGCUAUGAAAUACAAUUUGUUACACUCUUAAAUUUGGUGCAUGAUUUCUCAUUUUGGUGCUUUCAUGUGAGCUCAAAGCCGACUGCUAGUAGUUAUAUCACCAAUUUGGACUCGAUUUUUAAUAUUAAUCUGAUUUAUAAAACAGAGGAAGCUAGCUUUUAAAUUAUAUACAAUUAAAACUCUCCAUUCCUUUAGGCGAUCCAAACUUCCGUAGCAUAGAAACUUGACAACAAUUAAAAUUAAAGUCGAUAAAUUUAUAGCAGAAACCGUUAAGUUGUUCACGAAUUUGAGAUACAUGGUAGAUCCAUAAAUGUUUCAUAAACACACAUAAAAGUAUAUAACAUAAAUUUGAGGUUUCCCAUUAUUGAUGUAGUCGAGCAAUUUAGAGAAAUUGGUUGAGGUACUCAUCCACAGUAGUAUACUUGACGUCAGGAUAGAGCUGUGAAGCCUCAAAUCCAAAUGAUGGGUUGAUAUCAAAAUAUGUUUGAUCACUCUUCACGAAUACAGAAUGGUUGAUCGCCAGAAUUAUGUUUAUUGGCAUUGCUGACUCUGCAAAAUUAUAUUAUUAGUAGAAAUGGAAAAUUAUUAUACAUAUAUGUAUAUGUUGGUAGAUAUUUAUAUACCUGCAAUCUGUUUGAGAAGUUGGUCCUCGGGUACAUAGAUUUUCUGGAGGGUUUUGCCGAUUUUCUUCUCCCAUAAAGCAGCAAUCUCAUUGAAUGAGUAUAUGUUUUUGGGAGGCUUGAUGUAGAGGAUCUUGUUCAAGGUUCUUGGAUCAUCAACAGCUUUGAUGGUGUAUGUGCCAAUGUCACGUUCAUCGUU
RNAcentral lists this long non-coding RNA (15047 nucleotides) under Salvia miltiorrhiza (redroot sage). Its description in RNAcentral is "long non-coding RNA (SMIL_LNC002660)". The record is from RNAcentral. Lineage: Eukaryota; Viridiplantae; Streptophyta; Magnoliopsida; Lamiales; Lamiaceae.